CGAGCGAACAGACGAGGAGCUUGCUCCUCUGACGUUAGCGGCGGACCGCCGAGUAACACGUGGAUAACCUACCUAUAAGACUGGGAUAACUUCGGGAAACCGGAGCUAAUACCGGAUAAUAUAUUGAACCGCAUGGUUCAAUAGUGAAAGACGGUUUUGCUGUCACUUAUAGAUGGAUCCGCGCCGCAUUAGCUAGUUGGUAAGGUAACGGCUUACCAAGGCAACGAUGCGUAGCCGACCUGAGAGGGUGAUCGGCCACACUGGAACUGAGACACGGUCCAGACUCCUACGGGAGGCAGCAGUAGGGAAUCUUCCGCAAUGGGCGAAAGCCUGACGGAGCAACGCCGCGUGAGUGAUGAAGGUCUUCGGAUCGUAAAACUCUGUUAUUAGGGAAGAACAAAUGUGUAAGUAACUAUGCACGUCUUGACGGUACCUAAUCAGAAAGCCACGGCUAACUACGUGCCAGCAGCCGCGGUAAUACGUAGGUGGCAAGCGUUAUCCGGAAUUAUUGGGCGUAAAGCGCGCGUAGGCGGUUUUUUAAGUCUGAUGUGAAAGCCCCACGGCUCAACCGUGGAGGGGCAUUGGAAACUGGAAAACUUGAGUGCCCUGAGGAAAGUGGAAUUCCAUGUGUAGCGGUGAAAUGCGCAGAGAUGUGGAGGAACACCAGUGGCGAAGGCGACUUUCUGGUCUGUAACUGACGCUGAUGUGCGAAAGCGUGGGGAUCAAACAGGAUUAGAUACCCUGGUAGUCCACGCCGUAAACGAUGAGUGCUAAGUGUUAGGGGGUUUCCGCCCCUUAGUGCUGCAGCUAACGCAUUAAGCACUCCGCCUGGGGAGUACGACCGCAAGGUUGAAACUCAAAGGAAUUGACGGGGACCCGCACAAGCGGUGGAGCAUGUGGUUUAAUUCGAAGCAACGCGAAGAACCUUACCAAAUCUUGACAUCCUCUGACCCCUCUAGAGAUAGAGUUUCCCCCUUCGGGGGACAGAGUGACAGGUGGUGCAUGGUUGUCGUCAGCUCGUGUCGUGAGAUGUUGGGUUAAGUCCCGCAACGAGCGCAACCCUUAAGCUUAGUUGCCAUCAUUAAGUUGGGCACUCUAAGUUGACUGCCGGUGACAAACCGGAGGAAGGUGGGGAUGACGUCAAAUCAUCAUGCCCCUUAUGAUUUGGGCUACACACGUGCUACAAUGGACAAUACAAAGGGCAGCGAAACCGCGAGGUCAAGCAAAUCCCAUAAAGUUGUUCUCAGUUCGGAUUGUAGUCUGCAACUCGACUAUAUGAAGCUGAAUCGCUAGUAAUCGUAGAUCAGCAUGCUACGGUGAAUACGUUCCCGGGUCU
RNAcentral lists this ribosomal RNA (1336 nucleotides) under uncultured bacterium. RNAcentral's name for it is "bacterial SSU rRNA". It matches the Rfam family "Bacterial small subunit ribosomal RNA", at positions 63 to 1381 of the family's 1533-position model. The record is from RNAcentral.